CAUACGACCGUACCGCAAACCGACACUGGUGCGCGAGAUGAGUAUUCUAAGGCGCUUGAGAGAACUCAGGAGAAGGAACUCGGCAAAUUGACACCGUAACUUCGGAAGAAGGUGUGCCCUAUUAGUGUGUAGUGAACAACGAAGCAUGAAUGGGUUGCAAAAAAUCGGUGGCUGCGACUGUUUAUUAAAAACACAGCACUCUGCAAACACGAAAGUGGACGUAUAGGGUGUGACGCCUGCCCGGUGCUGGAAGAUUAAAUGAUGGGGUGCAAGCUCUUGAUUGAAGUCCCAGUAAACGGCGGCCGUAACAAUAACGGUCCUAAGGUAGCGAAAUUCCUUGUCGGGUAAGUUCCGACCUGCACGAAUGGCGUAACGAUGGCCACACUGUCUCCUCCUGAGACUCAGCGAAGUUGAAAUGUUUGUGAUGAUGCAAUCUCCCCGCGGAAAGACGGAAAGACCCCAUGAACCUUUACUGUAGCUUUGUAUUGGACUUUGAACAGAUCUGUGUAGGAUAGGUGGGAGGCUUUGAAGCAGGGUCGCUAGAUCUUGUGGAGCCAACGUUGAAAUACCACCCUGGUGUGUUUGAGGUUCUAACCUAGGUCCAUUAUCUGGAUCGGGGACAGUGCAUGGUAGGCAGUUUGACUGGGGCGGUCUCCUCCCAAAGCGUAACGGAGGAGUUCGAAGGUACGCUAGUUACGGUCGGACAUCGUGACGAUAGUGCAAUGGCAUAAGCGUGCUUAACUGCGAGACUGACAAGUCGAGCAGAUGCGAAAGCAGGACAUAGUGAUCCGGUGGUUCUGUAUGGAAGGGCCAUCGCUCAACGGAUAAAAGGUACUCUGGGGAUAACAGGCUGAUACCGCCCAAGAGUUCAUAUCGACGGCGGUGUUUGGCACCUCGAUGUCGGCUCAUCUCAUCCUGGGGCUGUAGCCGGUCCCAAGGGUAUGGCUGUUCGCCAUUUAAAGAGGUACGUGAGCUGGGUUUAAAACGUCGUGAGACAGUUUGGUCCCUAUCUUCCGUGGGCGCUGCAGAUUUGAGGAAGCCUGCUCCUAGUACGAGAGGACCGGAGUGGACACACCUCUGUGUAUCGGUUGUCACGCCAGUGGCAUUGCCGAGUAGCUAAGUGUGGAAGAGAUAACCGCUGAAAGCAUCUAAGCGGGAAACUCGUUUCAAGAUGAGAUCUGCCGGGGCCUUGAGCCCCCUAAAGAGUCGUUCAAGACCAGGACGUUGAUAGGUCAGGUGUGGAAGC
This 1246-nucleotide ribosomal RNA is filed under the name metagenome. RNAcentral describes it as "bacterial LSU rRNA". It matches the Rfam family "Bacterial large subunit ribosomal RNA", at positions 1635 to 2874 of the family's 2925-position model. The record is from RNAcentral.